CAUGGUAAUAAGGGCCAAAGGAAACCAUCUUAGGAGUGAAGUAAUCCUCUUCGUUGUGUUUCUUGAAUCGCAUUUACUGGGGCACUUUCAGUAUUCGGCGACCAUCGAAAUACUUAUGAUGAUCUUCACCGUCAUCUUCUAUAAUCGGAAUUUUACAUUCGACAUCUCUGGUUUUAUUUGCUGAAGGGUGUUGGUCUUCCAUUACAUUCAGGAAUUGAAAUCUCCAAUUGCUAUGUGCUUGCUUUGUCGCAGUUGAUGCAAACUACCCCGCGUUUUCCACACUCUGAAUAAUUGAAGUACUGGGUACUGGUGCAUCAGACAAAUAUGACACCUUUCCGAAAAUAAAUCAUCACGUUUUCAAAACUUUUUUUUGUGGCAGGAGACAUCAAAACUUUGUUCGCCCUUAGCUAUUGAAUUGUUUUUUUUUUUUUCUUUUUUUGAUACCCAAGCGUCCACCUUACAGCGACUAAUUCUAAGGUCUACGAUCCAGCCACUCUUCACGCAGACAGGUAAACCGCGGUUGUGCCCCAAAUUGACCAGGAUCCAAGAGUCCCCCCAACUGAACUGUCAAAGUGUCGAGCGAGUGAAACCCAUAUAUGUGCCUUGCCUUCCAAAGAACUCCUGCCUUUCAAGAAAUAUCCUGCCUUCUAGAAGAAAGCCUUGCCUUCAAAAAGUCCCAUAGCGACCUCUGAACUGCCCGGCUUGAAGAAUUCCGUCCUUUGCCAGUUAGGAUGUGUCCGGGGCACUAUUGAA
RNAcentral lists this long non-coding RNA (753 nucleotides) under Olea europaea subsp. europaea. The record is from RNAcentral. Lineage: Eukaryota; Viridiplantae; Streptophyta; Magnoliopsida; Lamiales; Oleaceae.